UACAAAAGGGAGUUGUCCCAUUUCUGCUACUUUUGGGUAGGAGAACCAAGCCAUUCAGUUCUUUGCCAUGCUGAGUUCCUUUCAAAGCUAUUUAUAUAAGAUGAUUAUCACUCAUUAAGUAGUUUACUCUUCACUGCCAGUGCCGCCCAUUUGCAGCGCUGGGAAUUGAAGUUUAUGCACAGCAAUGACAGAACUCUGCAUCCACUGAAAUCAAGAUCUAGGAACCUUGAAAUAAGGAAGCAGGAAAGCAAGUUACUCAGAUUCUGUCGGGAUAGCUGUGCAGUUUUAAGGCCCUGAAUUUAUUUCUGUUAUUCUGUAUCUCAUCUGAGAGUGGAGGUUAUCGUGCGUUGUUCGCAGUGGAGGGAAAAAAUGGUUCUGCUGUGCAGUUUUAACCUUGCUGGUGUGAAUCCUGAGGAAACAUGCAGCGUGGGUGUGAGAUGAGGGAAACGCUAUCAUUACAGCUGCCAAAAGCAAAACAAGACCUACGAUGUUUCCUAGCUCUUUGUGUAUCAACUCAAGCAGAAUGCAGAAAGAUGUCACAGUGGAGGAGGAUCAACACAACACAUUACUGCUGUGUCAUUACUCAACUCCUGGAGAACACAAUGGAAAACUUCUGAUUAAUGACUUGGAGAGUCGGAGGUCUGUUCCUUAUUUUGGAUAUCCUGCUAUGAGGGACGUGAACAGAAGCUAGGAGUCAAGCAUGCAUCAGAUCAAGCUCCUUCUAGCAAACUGGGUGCCUGCUGACUGAUUCUGAUUAGGUGCUCAUCUGGUAGCUGUCGACAGAGGACAACAGUGUUCUGUGGAAGCCAUACAGCUCUGUGUGAGGCAAUUUGCUUUUUCCUGCAGAGACAGACUUUAGCACCCUAAACUACUCCACUCAUAUGGCUGGUAAUUGGUGUUGUAGGAAAUUGCUGCAUGCAGUUUAUCCCCAUGAUCCCUCUGAACAGAUGGAGCACUGUGAGUCCAGGGAGGCUUGCUGACAGGUUAGUGAAGCCUUGUGCUGUGAUUCAGGGAAAAAACACCGCUUGACCCAUGCCCUGCUGCUUUCUCUCAGCACAGAAAUCCCAAAGGUCCAUUCACAAACAAGUUUGAUAUGUUGUGACUCAGCCCUGAAAGUGUCAGAAGGCCAUCUAACUUGCUGGCUUCAGUGAGGACUUCUGAUAUGUCCUGUGCUCUUGAGGAUCCAUCUUUUCUGCUUAAUGGUUAGCUGUAUGCUGAGAAGAAAUCGUUCACUGAGAGGGACUUUGGUAUGCUGGUGGCUGUAUGGUUGCUAAAAUAGAUGGUAUGGAGGACUUCUGUAUUUUCGAAGCACUGUAUGAACUUCAUAUAAUCAGUUGGGUUGGAAGGAACCCUUAAAGGUCAUCUAGUCCAACUCCCCUGCAAUGAACAGACAUCUGCAGCAGUGAACAUAUCCUUCCUGCCUCCAGGAUUGCUGAGUAUGGAUGUUUCUGUUCGUGAAGGGAGAAAUCAUCUAGGCUUGGAGAUUGUCUCAAAAUAUGUUUAGGCCAGUUUUGAUGUUGAGGGCUUUUUUGUAGCUUUAACUCAGGGAAUUUUACUUAAAAACAAAACAGGACAAGAAAUUUAAAAAACUUGAAUAAGAAAUUAGUUCUUUUUUUAUUAUUUCUUAGAAUUUUUAUUUUUAGUUUUUAUUUUAGUUUACUUUUUUAGUUUUUUAUUAUUUCGUCUUUUUUAUUUUUUUAGUUUUAGUUUUUAUUUUUAUUUAUUUAUUUAUUUAUUUAUUAGAAUAAGAAAUUAGUUGUGAGUGAGAGAAAAAACUGUGAGAUGAAGGAAAAACUCUAUGGCUGUUCUGAAAAUAUAAGCUUGUAGUCCCCAUGAAGAUGAAAGAAUCCUCCUGAAACAGAACAGGCAUUACUGGGAUGGAGUACUUGCUUCUCUGUGUCUAUUGCUGAAUAGCAGUCACUUUAAGGACAAAAUUUCUAAGAACAUUGUAUAUAUGUGUAUGGGAACUGCUGAAUCAUGGCCUGAGCCUCUGAUUGAUCACCUGAGGCGAGCAGUGAGUGAAGGCAGUUCAGCUGUGCUGCUGGAAGGGGUGGAGCCUGGCUGCACCUCUCCCAGAGCCAUUUAAGAGCUGACCACCAGUGGGGAAGGAUCUCUUCUGGAGAUUCCUCCUCUGGAGUUUUGUAGCGAGCCUUGGAUGCAGGUAAGCUUUCUAUCUAUUCUCUUUUUGUUACUAUAAUCUGCUUAGACAAACUCUCUUGUUUUUUCAUAAUUAUUAUAAUUAUCUUUAUAUUCACUGAUACAUCUACUUAUCCAUCUGUUAUCUACAUAUCUAUCAAUCUGUUUACCCACCUAUCCAUCCCUGUUUUUAGUGACACCGUAACCAUACCGUAACACUCUGCGUUUUAAGAACAGAGAGAGAAUGGCAAGGGAGUACUUUGUAAAAACUUAGGGAAUACAAAUUAUGCUGCCAUGUCUGUGUCUAACUGAGGCUGUAUGUGCUGUGUAGUGCACCACUGUGUUCAAAGGUGGAUAAAAAAGGACUGUGUAUAGAGUGCUGGGGGGAAUUGGUAUUGCCCGUGGGUGUCUGCCUCUCACAGUCACAUAAUCCUGACUUCAGAUUGCACCUUGUAGUGUUAACAAGGUGGGAGGGAGUUCCCUUCACUUGUGAGUGAGCUGGGUAGGAGAAGUAUCAUAAACGCUUCAGAUUAUACUCCAGCCCCAGGCUUCUCCUGCAUAAUGAUGCUCUAGAUUUUUCUACAAUUAAUUACUUGUUUUGAGGCUGCUCCACAUCCUCGCAGAGAAACAGUUGUAAUACUUAUCUAGACAACUUUUCUUCUGUCACGGUUUGGAUCUCACCUGGAGGAAAAAAUAAAUACAAAAAUUCAAGCAGGAGCCAAAAAUAAUAUCUUCUGUAUAUAGUAUUCCUGCACUGGAAUAAAAAUGAGUGGCAACUCCCUGUGUAUUUUUAUGACCUCCAAAAAUAGAUCUAAAUCUCAGGGAAAAAAUGAAUGAUGCCACGGAAAGAAAUGGUAAAGGGUGAUUUGUCUGUAACAGUGCUGAGAUCAUCCUCCAUAUUAUAUGUCACUAGCUGGAAACAUGGGCCAGUUUUCUCUCUCUUCAUUGCUAAGACUGAAGUGCAUCAAUUUUGAUGAAGUUUCAGUACAGUGGGGAGCACUGACUUAACGUUCAUGUGGAGACUGAGAGUUCCCUCCUGCUCUGCUCUACAUGAACUGGAUCAUGGAAGAGCCAUGGAAUAGUGGGGAGAAGUUAGGUUUAUAAGCAGCAACGCCAGCAACUCUAUGUGUGAGUGCAACUUGUGGGUAAGAUCACUGGGGAAGCACACAUUCAAGGAUGAGUUUGACUUCUGUCAGUGAAGACUGAGUCCAUGGACGAGACUGUGGCAUUUUGCAGAGGGGAGGAGAGCUUAAGAGCCAACUCCAUAACUACAGUUUAAUGAUCUGUGCAGCAUUGGCCAGCCUGGCCUCCAGGUGUGUCUUGGGUUUCCUGAGGCUGAGGACACUUCUGUCUGCAUUGGAGACUGCUUUGGAGGUUACUGUCCCCACAGUAAAUCUGCAUUUCUCCUCGCUCCCCAGUUUAGUUCUACCGGCUCUGACGUAGUUUAAAAUCUGUCCUAAUAAAAAUGCUUAAACAGGUUCAAUAGACACAGGCAAGCCUGGAUUCCUUUGACAGGUAAGUGUGUCUACAUUAGGUAGUGCGGUUAAUAGAGGCAGAUCUGGAAAACAAAACAGUGUUAGAUAUUUAACAGUAGCUGACAUGAAAUGUGUUUCAGUGGGAGCUUAUAUUGGAGAUGCUCUAUUCUUGUCUUGACAACCAAACUAUUGCUGGAGCUCAUUGGGUGUAUUCUUGGAGCACAUCUUCUGGCCUAUUUUCAUUCAAACAGAAUUUAGUCUACCAAUUAUGUGGCUACAACAUGACAGGAAAUGAAGUGCAGUGAACAGAGAAUUCACUUCAAAAACCAACUCCUGAUCUGAACUAAAAAGUUAGAGUAGAUGCAGCUUUACUAAUACAGUCUAGUGGCUGAGUAAUUGGUGAUUCCCAUGAGUGUUAUCGGUAGCGAUGACAGGAGGGGUGAAAACUCCUUAAUCCAGCUUGGUUACGACCUGUGUGCUGUACUGGUCCGCAGCUGAAUGCACUAUAACCCAAACUACUGCCAACAGCAGAGACAGAGCUGCCUGAGGGUUGACACAUAGCUUUAUUUACUGGCUACUGCU
This is a long non-coding RNA of Meleagris gallopavo (turkey), 4193 nucleotides long. NCBI's taxonomy places the organism in Eukaryota, Metazoa, Chordata, Aves, Galliformes, Phasianidae. The record is from Ensembl.